This 83-nucleotide transfer RNA is filed under the name Nitrososphaerota archaeon. RNAcentral's name for it is "Thaumarchaeota archaeon tRNA-Gly". It matches the Rfam family "tRNA". Rfam says of the family: Transfer RNA (tRNA) molecules are approximately 80 nucleotides in length. Lineage: Archaea; Thermoproteati; Nitrososphaerota. The record is from RNAcentral.
GGGGACGUAGCCUAGCAAGGUGCAAGGUGGAUCUCUGCCUAGAAACCUGUAGAUCGCCGGUUCGAAUCCGGCCGUCCCCACCA